AGUUCGGAUUGAAGGCUGAAAUUCGCCUUCAUGAAAGCCGGAAUUGCUAGUAAUGGCAGGUCAGCAUACUGCCGUGAAUACGUUCCCGGGCCUUGUACACACCGCCCGUCACACCAUGAGGGUUGGAAAUACCCGAAGCCUGUGAGCUAACAGUAAUGAGGCAGCAGUCGAAGGUAGAGCCAAUGAUUGGGGUGAAGUCGUAACAAGGUAAC
This 212-nucleotide ribosomal RNA is filed under the name uncultured bacterium. RNAcentral describes it as "partial 16S ribosomal RNA". It matches the Rfam family "Bacterial small subunit ribosomal RNA", at positions 1290 to 1500 of the family's 1533-position model. The record is from RNAcentral.